UACAGAGGUCCCAAGCGUUGUUCGGAUUCACUGGGCGUAAAGGGUGCGUAGGCGGUCGGGUAAGUCUGAUGUGAAAUCUCACAGCUUAACUGUGAAACUGCAUUGGAUACUAUUCGGCUUGAGAGUUGGAGGGGGGACUGGAAUUCUUGGUGUAGCAGUGAGAUGCGUAGAUAUCAAGAGGAACACCAGUGGCGAAGGCGAGUCCCUGGACAACUUCUGACGCUGAGGCACGAAAGCUAGGGGAGCAAACAGG
This 253-nucleotide ribosomal RNA is filed under the name uncultured bacterium. RNAcentral's name for it is "partial 16S ribosomal RNA". It matches the Rfam family "Bacterial small subunit ribosomal RNA", at positions 524 to 776 of the family's 1533-position model. The record is from RNAcentral.